This 538-nucleotide ribosomal RNA is filed under the name uncultured Flexivirga sp. RNAcentral's name for it is "bacterial SSU rRNA". It matches the Rfam family "Bacterial small subunit ribosomal RNA", at positions 372 to 919 of the family's 1533-position model. Lineage: Bacteria; Bacillati; Actinomycetota; Actinomycetes; Micrococcales; Dermacoccaceae. The record is from RNAcentral.
AGCCGAAUGCGGGAGAUGCAGCGGCGUCGCGUGGGUUUUGAAGGCUUUCGGGUUGUAUACCCCUUUCAGCAGGGACGAAGCUUUUGUGACGGUACCUGCAGAAGAAGCACCGGCUAACUACGUGCCAGCAGCCGCGGUAAUACGUAGGGUGCGAGCGUUGUCCGGAAUUAUUGGGCGUAAAGAGCUUGUAGGCGGUUUGUCGCGUCUGCCGUGAAAGCCCAGGGCUUAACCCUGGGUCUGCGGUGGGUACGGGCAGACUAGAGUGUGGUAGGGGAGACUGGAAUUCCUGGUGUAGCGGUGAAAUGCGCAGAUAUCAGGAGGAACACCGAUGGCGAAGGCAGGUCUCUGGGCCACUACUGACGCUGAGAAGCGAAAGCAUGGGGAGCGAACAGGAUUAGAUACCCUGGUAGUCCAUGCCGUAAACGUUGGGAACUAGGUGUGGGCCUCAUUCCACGAGGUCCGUGCCGUAGCUAACGCAUUAAGUUCCCCGCCUGGGGAGUACGGCCGCAAGGCUAAAACUCAAAGGAAUUGACGGAGA